This is a small nuclear RNA of Ipomoea nil (Japanese morning glory), 161 nucleotides long. It matches the Rfam family "U1 spliceosomal RNA". From Rfam's summary of the family: U1 is a small nuclear RNA (snRNA) component of the spliceosome (involved in pre-mRNA splicing). Its 5' end forms complementary base pairs with the 5' splice junction, thus defining the 5' donor site of an intron. NCBI's taxonomy places the organism in Eukaryota, Viridiplantae, Streptophyta, Magnoliopsida, Solanales, Convolvulaceae. The record is from Rfam.
AUACUUACCUGGACGGGGUCAAUGGGUGAUCAGCAAGGCCCAUGGCCUAGGUUGAUGACUUCCAUUGCACUUUGGAAGGGUGUUAAUCUAAGGUCUACCUUAUAGGUGGAGCCUACGUCAUAAUUUGUGGUAGAGGGGGCCUGCGUUCGCGCGGCCCCUAC